AAAACGACUCUCGGCAACGGAUAUCUAGGCUCUCGCAUCGAUGAAGAACGUAGCAAACUGCGAUACUUGUUGUGAAUUGCAGAAUCCCGUGAACCAUUGAGUUUUUGAAAGCAAGUUGCGCCCGAAGCCAUUAGGCCGAGGGCACGUCUGCCUGGGCGUCACGC
RNAcentral lists this ribosomal RNA (164 nucleotides) under Vinca major (greater periwinkle). RNAcentral's name for it is "5.8S ribosomal RNA". It matches the Rfam family "5.8S ribosomal RNA". From Rfam's summary of the family: 5.8S ribosomal RNA (5.8S rRNA) is a component of the large subunit of the eukaryotic ribosome. Lineage: Eukaryota; Viridiplantae; Streptophyta; Magnoliopsida; Gentianales; Apocynaceae. The record is from RNAcentral.